UACGGAGGGUGCGAGCGUUGUCCGGAAUCACUGGGCGUAAAGGGCGCGUAGGCGGCCUGAUAAGUAGGGGGUGAAAUCCUGCGGCUUAACCGCAGGGCUGCCUUCUAAACUGUCAGGCUAGAGCACAGUAGAGGCAGGUGGAAUUCCCGGUGUAGCGGUGGAAUGCGUAGAGAUGGGGGAGAACACUCGUGGCGAAGGCGGCCAGCUAGACCAGUUCUGACACUGAGGCGCGACAGCGUGGGGAGCAAACAGG
This 253-nucleotide ribosomal RNA is filed under the name uncultured bacterium. RNAcentral's name for it is "partial 16S ribosomal RNA". It matches the Rfam family "Bacterial small subunit ribosomal RNA", at positions 524 to 776 of the family's 1533-position model. The record is from RNAcentral.